This 468-nucleotide ribosomal RNA is filed under the name uncultured bacterium. RNAcentral's name for it is "partial 16S ribosomal RNA". It matches the Rfam family "Bacterial small subunit ribosomal RNA", at positions 28 to 507 of the family's 1533-position model. The record is from RNAcentral.
GAUGAACGCUGGCGGCGUGCUUAACACAUGCAAGUCGAACGGAAAGGCCCAAGCUUGCUUGGGUACUCGAGUGGCGAACGGGUGAGUAACACGUGGGUGAUCUGCCCUGCACUUCGGGAUAAGCCUGGGAAACUGGGUCUAAUACCGGAUAGGACGAUGGUUUGGAUGCCAUUGUGGAAAGUUUUUUCGGUGUGGGAUGAGCUCGCGGCCUAUCAGCUUGUUGGUGGGGUAAUGGCCUACCAAGGCGUCGACGGGUAGCCGGCCCGAGAGGGUGUACGGCCACAAUGGGACUGAGAAACGGCCCAGACUCCUACGGGAGGCAGCAGUGGGGAAUAUUGCACAAUGGGCGCAAGCCUGAUGCAGCGACGCCGCGUGGGGGAUGAAGGCCUUCGGGUUGUAAACUCCUUUCGCUAGGGACGAAGCGUUUUUGUGACGGUACCUGGAGAAGAAGCACCGGCUAACUACGUG